GAAGAAGUAGGUUUGUUCUACCAUGGAGGCAGGAAGCUGUGCUUCAGGAAUUCAUUCGAAGAGGAGCAAGGCAGGUGGAACAAUUGGAGGUCUUGGUGCCUCCAAGACCAAGAGUAGCUACAGAAAUCCCACCAACCAAACCCUGAUGAGGACAAAGCAACUGAGGACCUCAGUGCUAUGGAGAUGAAGGUCUGAAUCGCCCCAGCAGGCUGACUCAUAUAUGGUUUGCUUCACUAAUCCUUGUGUAUCUUUUUUAGACUUGUCUGGACACCAAGAGGAAUGUGGGAGCCUUUGGAAUGUUUCGAGCAGAGCAGUGACAUGGCCUGACUUAAAAUUUACAGGACAUAGGUGCUAGUUUACAAAUUCACAGAAACAGACUACGAUGAAGAGAAUAGACAAGGGAGGGCAAAGGCAGAGGCAAGAGUUGUCUGGGGGCUGUGGCAAGUAUCUAACCAGAGACAGUGGCGGAUAGGCAGGGAGCAGCAGCGGAAGCAGAGGCAGGAGACUUUCCUGUCUGAUCAGGUGUGGAGCGUGAAGAUAAAAGAUACAGCAAGAUGACCCCAAUGUAUGGAGCCUGAACAACCAGAAGGAUGGUGGUGCUGAGAAUUCCAAGGACCCAGAGAAGAAGGGAGCCACAAGAUUGGAGGAACCUGGGUCUCUGAAUGUCUGUGAGGGACCCACCCUGACACACCCUGUAUCUGAAAGUGAUGUGUGUGAAAAAUAAACAUUUGUGGUGUUAAGUGACU
RNAcentral lists this long non-coding RNA (746 nucleotides) under Homo sapiens (human). RNAcentral's name for it is "HSALNT0144494". Lineage: Eukaryota; Metazoa; Chordata; Mammalia; Primates; Hominidae. The record is from RNAcentral.